UGGCACGCAAGUCCUGGUAACGCUCUUCCAGAUCAGACCAUUCCUUCAUGAUCUGUUAUAAUGAAAGAGUAGCAUAGUGAAAAUGACUUCUUUCUACUAAGGUCUCACUAAGUGUAAUUCUUACCCUUUUUAUCAGGAAUCUACUAAAAGCAUUUUCGAAAGAAAAGAUUUUCAAGAUUAGCAAAUUUUCCUUGAAGUGAGUGGACUCACCUUGGACACCUUCUCACGGUGGCGCUCCUCAAGCCGCUGCUCCGCCCGACGGAAGGCAUCGUGCUCUUCAUGGGGGUCAAAUCUGCUGAAGUAUUCAUCCCUGGCGCCAACCUCCUACACGGAUUGAGGCAGAGAAUUUCCAAGACAGCUUGAGUGAGUGAGGAUGGAAGUUAGAACCAGACUCAGCACUCGUAUUGAGUUAACUUGUGUCGCCGCGUCACCCGAGGCCAAGCAGCGCGCCUAAAAACGGACGUGGGAUGAGAAAGUGGACACUUCGGCGCCUUGUCUACCGCUCUCCCCAUCCUCGCCGAUAAAAUAAAAGCCCUCAAAAUCUAUUUAUACACGUGAUUUGACUCGAGUUGCAUCCUUUUACUGGGGGUGAGUUGUCAGGUCUAUUGUUCAGACGUUUCAAUCCGUGUGUGUGUGUGUGUGUGUGUGUGUGUGUGUGUGUGUGUGUGUGUGUGUGUGUGUGUGUGUGUGUGUGUGUGUGUGUGUUUUAUGUUUGAAAGCGAGAACUGGCUGGCUGGCUGGAUGGCGUGGAUGUCCCCUCUUGGUGCUUUGUGUCAUCUUAUGGUUCACCCCUUCAGUACCAGGACGCGUUUCCAUUUUCAUUCUGGUUACUAUAUGGUGAUUUUACACACCUUCAAAAACUUAGGUGGGGAUUAAAAUAGUGAAGACUCUAGCCAUUAAUCUUUUGACCUCCAUGGACCCUCCCUAAUGUCAAUAAAAUCGUCUAAUCAUACCCAAACCCGAGAUAAAAAUGCGCUCUAUUGCUGAAGGGAUUAAGUUAAUGUAGACUUCCACUUGAUUACUCGUGGAAGACGGAUAUUCGAACCGACUCACUCUAGGAAACUCCUCACUUUAUUCUU
Long non-coding RNA from Portunus trituberculatus (swimming crab), 1079 nucleotides. RefSeq lists it as uncharacterized. NCBI's taxonomy places the organism in Eukaryota, Metazoa, Arthropoda, Malacostraca, Decapoda, Portunidae. The record is from RefSeq and is a predicted model, not a curated record. The transcript is spliced from 4 exons.